Molecule: ribosomal RNA, 497 nt
Filed under: uncultured bacterium
Lineage: Bacteria
Description: partial 16S ribosomal RNA
Rfam family: Bacterial small subunit ribosomal RNA
Source: RNAcentral
GAUGAACGCUGGCGGCGUGCCUAAUACAUGCAAGUCGAGCGAACAGACGAGGAGCUUGCUCCUCUGACGUUAGCGGCGCACGGGUGAGUAACACGUGGAUAACCUACCUAUAAGACUGGGAUAACUUCGGGAAAGCGGAGCUAAUACCGGAUAAUAUAUUGAACCGCGUGGUUCGAUAGUGAGAGACGGUUUUGCUGUCUCGUAUAGAUGGAUCCGCGCCGCAUUAGCUAGUUGGUAAGGUAACGGCUUACCAAGGCAACGAUGCGUAGCCGACCUGCGAGGGUGAUCGGCCACACUGGAACUGAGACACGGUCCAGACUCCUACGGGAGGCAGCAGUAGGGAAUCUUCCGCAAUGGGCGAAAGCCUGACGGAGCAACGCCGCGUGAGUGAUGAAGGUCUUCGGAUCGUAAAACUCUGUUAUUAGGGAAGAACAAAUGUGUAAGUAACUAUGCACGUCUUGACGGUACCUAAUCAGAAAGCCACGGCUAACUACGUG